GCUAUGAUGGAAGUAACUAUCAUGAUCGAGGUUUAUAAAUGGAUGAAGGGCUUUAAUAAGGGAGACAUUCAUAAGGUUUUGUUGGUAAGAGAACCGGGUAGGGCACGAAGUAAUGGGUUUAAACUGGAUAAAUUCAGAUUCAACAGGGACAUAGGCAAAAAUUGGUUUACUAACAGGGUGGUGGAUGAGUGGAAUAGGCUUAGCAGUCAUGUGGUGAGUGCCAAUACAAUUGUCACAUUCAAAAAUAGACUAGAUAAAUUCAUGGACAGCGAUAUUAGGUGGGGUUAGAUACACGGGAGCUUAGGGUCAAAGGAGCUGCCUCUUGUAGACUCCUGCGUUCUUAUGUUCUUAUGUUAACUAUCAUUCUUAUUAUCAUGAACAAUGCCAUCAUCAUCAUAAUCAUUUGACAAAGUAUAUGCCUGGGGUGCAUUGCUGUACAUGUCUACCAGUCUGCAGUGUUUUGGUGGGCAAGCUGAUUCUUUAGAGAUUAACAAAGGUGGUAUUUAGGGUGCUGACACUGUUUACCACAAUUGAUGCUUUUCAAAUACGUGGAGUCUGUUAUUCAUCAUUUUGCUUUUUCAAUGGAAAUACUUUUUGGUAAGAAAAGAAAAACUUGCCCUUUCCUUCAUCACUGCAACAAAAUUUCAGUAAUGACAGGUUACUAUUUUAGCGGUGAUAGGUUACUAUCCGUUAGUUAACAGUGAGGUGGUUAGUUUAUAAACAAGCGGGGCCUCAGGAUGGCCAAGCAGUAUAUGUUGCCCUGUUUGUCGUGCGUCUUGCCAGCCAAAGCACAGUGCCAUUCCGUCAGCAAGUUCACGCUGGCACUGUCAUGGCUGUCCUGUGUCAAAGACUGCUCAGGUCUGAAUGGAAAUAGACUGCUCAGGUCUGAAUGGAAAUAGACUGCUCAGGUCUGAAUGGAAAUAGACUGCUCAGGUCUGAAUGGAAGUAGACUGCUCAGGUCUGAAUGGAAAUAGACUGCUCAGGUCUGAAUGGAAAUAGACUGCUCAGGUCUGAAUGGAAAUAGACUGCUCAGGUCUGAAUGGAAAUAGACUGCUCAGGUCUGAAUGGAAAUAGACUGCUCAGGUCUGAAUGGAAAUAGACUGCUCAGGUCUGAAUGGAAAUAGACUGCUCAGGUCUGAAUGGAAAUAGACUGCUCAGGUCUGAAUGGAAGUAGACUGCUCAGGUCUGAAUGGAAAUAGACUGCUCAGGUCUGAAUGGAAGUAGACUGCUCAGGUCUGAAUGGAAGUAGACUGCUCAGGUCUGAAUGGAAGUAGACUGCUCAGGUCUGAAUGGAAGUAGACUGCUCAGGUCUGAAUGGAAGUAGACUGCUCAGGUCUGAAUUAUAUAGUAUUCUGCAAAAUGGUGUCUUGUUCUUCAAAUCAUUAUUCAUUGUGUUUUCUUGAUAUUAGAAAUGAAUAACAUGAACCUCCUAUACUGUUUUUUCUUUGUGGGGGCAAAGCUUCAUGGGCCUUUAAAGAUUUUAUUAUGCCUCUGAGCUGCUUCAUCUACCUCAGUGAGACCUUCACCAAUACGUACGCAUAAGAUAAAUUCUUUUCCCAGGAGACAGGCACAAAUUGUU
Long non-coding RNA from Eriocheir sinensis (Chinese mitten crab), 1579 nucleotides. RefSeq lists it as uncharacterized. NCBI's taxonomy places the organism in Eukaryota, Metazoa, Arthropoda, Malacostraca, Decapoda, Varunidae. The record is from RefSeq and is a predicted model, not a curated record. The transcript is spliced from 3 exons.